RNAcentral lists this ribosomal RNA (2009 nucleotides) under Barrmaelia macrospora. RNAcentral describes it as "eukaryotic LSU rRNA". The stretch from base 695 to 2009 matches the Rfam family "Eukaryotic large subunit ribosomal RNA", at positions 1 to 1447 of the family's 3401-position model. The record is from RNAcentral. Lineage: Eukaryota; Fungi; Ascomycota; Sordariomycetes; Xylariales; Barrmaeliaceae.
CACACCGCCCGUCGCUACUACCGAUUGAAUGGCUCAGUGAGGCUUUCGGACUGGCCCAGAGGAGUCGGCAACGACACCUCAGGGCCGGAAAGUUAUCCAAACUCGGUCAUUUAGAGGAAGUAAAAGUCGUAACAAGGUCUCCGUUGGUGAACCAGCGGAGGGAUCAUUAUAGAGUUACAACAAACUCCAACCCAUGUGAACAUACCAUACUGUUGCCUCGGCUGGCUGUGCCUACCCUGUAGCAACCUACCCUGUAACGAGCUACCCUGUAGUGAGUUACCCUGUAGGGACCUACCCGGUGGUACGCUACAAGGCCUGCCGAAGGCCCCCGAACUCUAGUUAUCUAUUGGAAUUCUGAAUACGCAACUUAAUAAGUUAAAACUUUCAACAACGGAUCUCUUGGUUCUGGCAUCGAUGAAGAACGCAGCGAAAUGCGAUAAGUAAUGUGAAUUGCAGAAUUCAGUGAAUCAUCGAAUCUUUGAACGCACAUUGCGCCCAUUAGUAUUCUAGUGGGCAUGCCUGUUCGAGCGUCAUUUCGACCCUUAAGCCCUGUUGCUUAGUGUUGGGAGCCUACGUACCCUGUAGCUCCUCAAAGUCAGUGGCGGAGUCGGGUCACACUCUAAGCGUAGUCAUCUUUUCUCGCUUCUGUAGUUGUCCCGGUUCCUGCCGUAAAACCCCCUAUAUUUAUCUAGGUUGACCUCGGAUCAGGUAGGAAUACCCGCUGAACUUAAGCAUAUCAAUAAGCGGAGGAAAAGAAACCAACAGGGAUUGCCCUAGUAACGGCGAGUGAAGCGGCAACAGCUCAAAUUUGAAAUCUGGCUCUCGGGUCCGAAUUGUAAUUUGUAGAGGAUGCUUUUGGCGCGGUGCCUUCCGAGUUCCCUGGAACGGGACGCCUUAGAGGGUGAGAGCCCCGUACGGUUGGACACCAAGCCUCUGUAAAGCUCCUUCGACGAGUCGAGUAGUUUGGGAAUGCUGCUCUAAAUGGGAGGUAAAUUUCUUCUAAAGCUAAAUACCGGCCAGAGACCGAUAGCGCACAAGUAGAGUGAUCGAAAGAUGAAAAGUACUUUGAAAAGAGGGUUAAAUAGUACGUGAAAUUGUUGAAAGGGAAGCGUUUACGACCAGACUUUUCCCAGGCGGAUCAUCCGGUGUUCUCACCGGUGCACUUCGCCUGGUUUAGGCCAGCAUCGGUUUUCGUAGGGGGAUAAAAGCUUCGGGAAAGUAGCUCCUCCGGGAGUGUUAUAGCCCGUUGCAUAAUACCCUUAUGGGGACCGAGGAUCGCGCUCUGCAAGGAUGCUGGCAUAAUGGUCGUCAACGACCCGUCUUGAAACACGGACCAAGGAGUCGAACAUUUGUGCGAGUGUUUGGGUGUUAAACCCUCACGCGUAAUGAAAGUGAACGGAGGUGAGAGCCCUUACGGGUGCAUCAUCGACCGAUCCUGAUGUCUUCGGAUGGAUUUGAGUAAGAGCAUAACUGUUCGGACCCGAAAGAUGGUGAACUAUGCGUGGAUAGGGUGAAGCCAGAGGAAACUCUGGUGGAGGCUCGCAGCGGUUCUGACGUGCAAAUCGAUCGUCAAAUCUGCGCAUGGGGGCGAAAGACUAAUCGAACCAUUGAGAAACCAGCGGUAAAAUUUUAUUUACUAGGUGGUUAAGAGGCCCUCCGAGAGGGAGGGCCUAGGUCUCACCUACCCUGUAGCAGGUUACCCUGUAGUAAGUUACCCUGUAACGACCUACCCUGUAGCAGGUUACCCGGUAGGCGACCGACACCGCUAAAUUGCGGGGACAUCCUAUUUAAGGCCACAGGCUACCGCCGGGCGCUGAAAAGCGUGCUGGCAACCGAGAAUAGCGCUCUCGGGUACGGUAAUAACGCCUGUGGUAGCGGACGACCUGCAGCCAACCCCGUCUCCAGGGGAGAGUUCACUGACUAGACAGCGGUGGGUCAGCCCCUGUGGCUGGCCUAAGACAUAGUCGAUCCGGGCCCUGAAAAGGGAUCCCUAAUACGAAAAUAGCGAG